CAGUCUGCAGCUGCACUACUGGGGGAAACCGAAAGAAAGUAUCACAAAAGCAGCAGGCAUCACAGAUUGCCUUUCACUCUUUCCUGGACAAAAGAUAGAUUUAGGUAAUAAUUCACCUAAUAAUAGAUUAGGUAAUAAAGAAUUAGGCUGUAUGAACCUUCUUGAGGAACUGUGCUUGUAACACGGGCAAUGGUAAAAUAUCAGCAAAAGCUGCAGCACACUCAGGCAGCAGACACUGUCUGAGACAGAGCAGAACAAACCAUUUGGAUCCCCAAAAUGACUGCUCACAUGAGACCACAACCUCCUGAUCACUCCCUAGGUUUGUACCCAUUUGGGGGGAUAUUUUGGAGUAUAUCUUGGCACAGGCAAGCAUGUGCAUCCAAACCAAGGAGUUUGCCAAAGAGAAAUAGAGGAAACUUGCUACCCACCAGCUGUGAUCCUGGCCAGGAGCUUGGGCAAUAGCACAUAAACACCUGUUUUCAUUUGCUGAGUGGUGCUGUGACACAGGGGUGAGCGGUGACAUGAAGCUUUUCAUCUGGCCGUGAUCUGCUUUCAAAGCUCUGUAAACAGCUCUUAGCUGAAAAUAUCAUGUAACUUUUUUUUUUUUUUCCCCUUUGUUGCACGCAGUUCAUCCUCAGAGGAAGAAGAGCCCCUGUGCUCAUCUGGGCUUGGGAACAGCAGCUCCCUUGAACACAGCAGGCAUUCAACCUGAGGCUGAGCAGGUUCAGGCACCGAGCCACGAAGCUAAUUGUGUGUGUUGCAGUCCAGCAGGCCGCCGUCGUGUCCUGGGAGCAGCACCUCCUGUCUGUGUCCAUUCCUCAUGGCCAAAGUGCCCCAGGAUCAGCAUGGAGUCCUUUCCUGAGGAGAGGAAAUGGCCUUGGAGUCCAGCAGGGAGGAGCUGGAGCCAGUGUCCCUGCAAAGGGCCAAGAGCCGUGUGGCUGUGGCCCUCGGGGACCCGGUGCAGGGGUGCCGCUGGCGGUGCCAGGCUGCCGCUGGGAGCCGAUGACUUUCCAGGUGCCUUCCCGGCCGGACGAUGGGCCGGGAUGCGGCGCUGAGCCCCGGCAGCGAGGGUC
Molecule: long non-coding RNA, 1073 nt
Filed under: Cyanistes caeruleus (blue tit)
Lineage: Eukaryota; Metazoa; Chordata; Aves; Passeriformes; Paridae
Description: lncRNA (ENSCCEG00000018067.1)
Source: RNAcentral